GAUGAACGCUGGCGGCGUGCCUAAUACAUGCAAGUCGAGCGAACAGACGAGGAGCUUACUCCUCUGACGUUAGCGGCGGACGGGUGAGUAACACGUGGAUAACCUACCUAUAAGACUGGGAUAACUUCGGGAAACCGGAGCUAAUACCGGAUAACAUGUUGAACCGCAUGGUUCAACAGUGAAAGACGGUCUUGCUGUCACUUAUAGAUGGAUCCGCGUCGCAUUAGCUAGUUGGUAAGGUAACGGCUUACCAAGGCAACGAUGCGUAGCCGACCUGAGAGGGUGAUCGGCCACACUGGAACUGAGACACGGUCCAGACUCCUACGGGAGGCAGCAGUAGGGAAUCUUCCGCAAUGGGCGAAAGCCUGACGGAGCAACGCCGCGUGAGUGAAGAAGGUCUUCGGAUCGUAAAACUCUGUUAUUAGGGAAGAACAAAUGUGUAAGUAACUAUGCACGUCUUGACGGUACCUAAUCAGAAAGCCACGGCUAACUACGUGCCAGCAGCCGCGGUAAUACGUAGGUGGCAAGCGUUAUCCGGAAUUAUUGGGCGUAAAGCGCGCGUAGGCGGUUUUUUAAGUCUGAUGUGAAAGCCCACGGCUCAACCGUGGAGGGUCAUUGGAAACUGGAAAACUUGAGUGCAGAAGAGGAAAGUGGAAUUCCAUGUGUAGCGGUGAAAUGCGCAGAGAUAUGGAGGAACACCAGUGGCGAAGGCGACUUUCUGGUCUGUAACUGACGCUGAUGUGCGAAAGCGUGGGGAUCAAACAGGAUUAGAUACCCUGGUAGUCCACGCCGUAAACGAUGAGUGCUAAGUGUUAGGGGGUUUCCGCCCCUUAGUGCUGCAGCUAACGCAUUAAGCACUCCGCCUGGGGAGUACGACCGCAAGGUUGAAACUCAAAGGAAUUGACGGGGACCCGCACAAGCGGUGGAGCAUGUGGUUUAAUUCGAAGCAACGCGAAGAACCUUACCAAAUCUUGACAUCCUCUGACCCCUCUAGAGAUAGAGUUUUCCCCUUCGGGGGACAGAGUGACAGGUGGUGCAUGGUUGUCGUCAGCUCGUGUCGUGAGAUGUUGGGUUAAGUCCCGCAACGAGCGCAACCCUUAAGCUUAGUUGCCAUCAUUAAGUUGGGCACUCUAAGUUGACUGCCGGUGACAAACCGGAGGAAAGUGGGGAUGACGUCAAAUCAUCAUGCCCCUUAUGAUUUGGGCUACACACGUGCUACAAUGGACAAUACAAAGGGUAGCGAAACCGCGAGGUCAAGCAAAUCCCAUAAAGUUGUUCUCAGUUCGGAUUGUAGUCUGCAACUCGACUACAUGAAGCUGGAAUCGCUAGUAAUCGUAGAUCAGCAUGCUACGGUGAAUACGUUCCCGGGUCU
RNAcentral lists this ribosomal RNA (1372 nucleotides) under uncultured bacterium. RNAcentral's name for it is "bacterial SSU rRNA". It matches the Rfam family "Bacterial small subunit ribosomal RNA", at positions 28 to 1381 of the family's 1533-position model. The record is from RNAcentral.